UUUAGUUGGUUCUUAUUUAUUCAUUUACGUAUUUAAAUAUGAGUAAAACUAUUAAAAGUGGAGUUCGACAGAUAUUGGUCUGCAUGAUAUCCAAAUUCCAAGAAAAAGAAGCUGAAUUCUACCAUAUAAAAAACAAGCUUGUUUACGUGUGGUGUUGAAUUUCUUAGGAAAUCUGGAGGAUGUAGAAGGAGUCGAUGUAAUAGUGAGAACUAUGGGUGUAAGUGUAAUGUAAACACAGAAAAAAAGCUAUGUCUAGUAAAACGGUAUAAACCAGAGCCAAUAUGUGAAGCCGAUGAAAUUUUAAAGCACAAUGGUCAUGAGGUAGUAAAACUACCUCCAUACCAUUGUGAUCUAAAUGCCAUUGAGCUGGUAUGGAGUCUAGCAAAACACAGAGUAGCAAAUAAAAAUAUUAAAUUGACUACAGAGCAGUUAGAACAAGUAAUUAAAGAGUACUAAGUCUGAGUGGAAGGAAAUGACUGAUCAUGUUGUACGUGGGGAAAAUAAAUAUAAAGAACGGGGCAGGACUACAGAGGAACAUUUAUAAAGUUUCAUAAUCAAUGUGAGAGACAGUGAUAACAGCAAUGAAUCUGAUGAAUCUAUGCAUAUUAAUUUUUUGGAUUCUGAUUUUGAUUAUUUCGAAUAAAGUUGUGUUUUAUAAUAAAAAGCUGCUGCAAUCGUCCACAAGAAACAAAUUAAAAUUCAAGAAAACCAACAUUCAUGUUUCAUUUUUACUUGAAAUUCACAAUUUAUUAUACUUAACACAAAAUCACAGCGACUGGAAACGUCAAACUGACAGAAAUACAGAGACAAAUUUCUGUUUUUUUCUUAAGUUUAUCAAUGAAAUGCGAC
Molecule: long non-coding RNA, 849 nt
Organism: Pieris brassicae (large cabbage white)
Lineage: Eukaryota; Metazoa; Arthropoda; Insecta; Lepidoptera; Pieridae
Exons: 3
Source: RefSeq, a predicted model, not a curated record